CCUACGGGAGGCAGCAGUGGGGAAUAUUGCACAAUGGGGGCAACCCUGAUGCAGCGACGCCGCGUGAGUGAAGAAGUACUUCGUUAUGUAAAGCUCUAUCAGCAGGGAAGAAAAUGACGGUACCUGUGUAAGAAGCCCCGGCUAACCCCGUGCCAGCAGCCGCGGUAAUACGGAGGGGGCAAGCGUGAUCCGGAUUUACUGGGUGUAAAGGGAGCGUAGACGGCUGUGCAAGUCUGGAGUGAAAGGCGGGGGCUCAACCCCCGGACUGCUCUGGAUACUGUACGGCUGGAGUGCAGGAGAGGUAAGUGGAAUUCCUAGUGUAGCGGUGAAAUGCGUAGAGAUUAGGAGGAACACCAGUGGCGAAGGCGGCUUACUGGACUGUAACUGACGUUGAGGCCCGAAAGCGUGGGGAGCAAACAGGAUUAGAUACCCUAGUAGUC
This 440-nucleotide ribosomal RNA is filed under the name uncultured bacterium. Its description in RNAcentral is "partial 16S ribosomal RNA". It matches the Rfam family "Bacterial small subunit ribosomal RNA", at positions 338 to 795 of the family's 1533-position model. The record is from RNAcentral.